Molecule: long non-coding RNA, 3382 nt
Filed under: Coffea arabica (coffee)
Lineage: Eukaryota; Viridiplantae; Streptophyta; Magnoliopsida; Gentianales; Rubiaceae
Description: long non-coding RNA (CARA_LNC004439)
Source: RNAcentral
GCUUCCGCCACACACGCCGUAACUCCUAUCACCCUACUGCUCCUCAGUCCUCAGUAUACCAUAGCUUGGCUUCCCCGAAUGGCCGUUCCCAUUUAUAACUACUACUGUUCCCCGCUCCUCGGUUGCCUGCCCUGUGCCUUCCCCUUCUCCUCCUUUCCACCGUAUCGUCAGCUACACCUUCUCUCACCCAAUUCUUUACACUCCUCUUCUUCUUCGCUUUACCAUUUAAAAAAUCAAAGUAUUACUAGCGCUACGAUUACGGUAUGAUGAGAGGAUCUCAUUUACUGAUGCUUGCUCAACUCUUUUCGGAAAAGAAAUCGACGGAAUUGGAAGAAGGAAGAAACAGCUACAGUUAAAAAAGAUUUCAGGCCCAAAUCGGGCAGAAAGCAACGGAAAGCGCAGAAAGGCAGCAAAAUAUAUUUUUAAAUUGCCCAUUCUACCCCUAAAAAACUGUUGAAUAAAAUAUUUAUUUACUUAUAUAUCCAAAAUCACCUGCUUUCUUUCAUAAACUCCCAAACAACAUUAAAAUAUCUUCUCUUCUUUUCUUAUCCUUUCUUCCCUCUCGUAACUUAACCUCUCUCUUCUUUUCUUUUCUAUCCUCAACUCACAAACUAGCUAUAAAUCUCAUUGGAUUAGGAAUUAAAAACCAGAAGAAGGAGCUGUUUGGGGGUGAAGGUGUAAUAUAACUGUAAGAGAAAGGGCCGAAGCACGAAUAAAGCGGAGAUGGGAUGGCGGCGCCCCCACACCUUAUCAUCCAAAUAUCAUCCAAGUAUCUCCGGGCAGCUUCCGCCACACACGCCGUAACUCCUAUCACCCUACUGCUCCUCAGUCCUCAGUAUACCAUAGCUUGGCUUCCCCGAAUGGCCGUUCCCAUUUAUAACUACUACUGUUCCCCGCUCCUCGGCUGCCUGCCCUGUGCCUUCCCCUUCUCCUCCUUUCCACCGUAUCGUCAGCUACACCUUCUCUCACCCAAUUCUUUACACUCCUCUUCUUCUUCGCUUUACCAUUUAAAAAAUCAAAGUAUUACUAGCGCUACGAUUACGGUAUGAUGAGAGGAUCUCAUUUACUGAUGCUUGCUCAACUCUUUUCGGAAAAGAAAUCGACGGAAUUGGAAGAAGGAAGAAACAGCUACAGUUAAAAAAGAUUUCCGGCCCAAAUCGGGCAGAAAGCAACGGAAAGCGCAGAAAGGCAGCAAAAUAUAUUUUUAAAUUGCCCAUUCUACCCCUAAAAAACUGUUGAAUAAAAUAUUUAUUUACUUAUAUAUCCAAAAUCACCUGCUUUCUUUCAUAAACUCCCAAACAACAUUAAAAUAUCUUCUCUUCUUUUCUUAUCCUUUCUUCCCUCUCGUAACUUAACCUCUCUCUUCUUUUCUUUUCUAUCCUCAACUCACAAACUAGCUAUAAAUCUCAUUGGAUUAGGAAUUAAAAACCAGAAGAAGGAGCUGUUUGGGGGUGAAGGUGUAAUAUAACUGUAAGAGAAAGGGCCGAAGCACGAAUAAAGCGGAGAUGGGAUGGCGGCGCCCCCACACCUUAUCAUCCAAAUAUCAUCCAAGUAUCUCCGGGCAGCUUCCGCCACACACGCCGUAACUCCUAUCACCCUACUGCUCCUCAGUCCUCAGUAUACCAUAGCUUGGCUUCCCCGAAUGGCCGUUCCCAUUUAUAACUACUACUGUUCCCCGCUCCUCGGCUGCCUGCCCUGUGCCUUCCCCUUCUCCUCCUUUCCACCGUAUCGUCAGCUACACCUUCUCUCACCCAAUUCUUUACACUCCUCUUCUUCUUCGCUUUACCAUUUAAAAAAUCAAAGUAUUACUAGCGCUACGAUUACGGUAUGAUGAGAGGAUCUCAUUUACUGAUGCUUGCUCAACUCUUUUCGGAAAAGAAAUCGACGGAAUUGGAAGAAGGAAGAAACAGCUACAGUUAAAAAAGAUUUCAGGCCCAAAUCGGGCAGAAAGCAACGGAAAGCGCAGAAAGGCAGCAAAAUAUAUUUUUAAAUUGCCCAUUCUACCCCUAAAAAACUGUUGAAUAAAAUAUUUAUUUACUUAUAUAUCCAAAAUCACCUGCUUUCUUUCAUAAACUCCCAAACAACAUUAAAAUAUCUUCUCUUCUUUUCUUAUCCUUUCUUCCCUCUCGUAACUUAACCUCUCUCUUCUUUUCUUUUCUAUCCUCAACUCACAAACUAGCUAUAAAUCUCAUUGGAUUAGGAAUUAAAAACCAGAAGAAGGAGCUGUUUGGGGGUGAAGGUGUAAUAUAACUGUAAGAGAAAGGGCCGAAGCACGAAUAAAGCGGAGAUGGGAUGGCGGCGCCCCCACACCUUAUCAUCCAAAUAUCAUCCAAGUAUCUCCGGGCAGCUUCCGCCACACACGCCGUAACUCCUAUCACCCUACUGCUCCUCAGUCCUCAGUAUACCAUAGCUUGGCUUCCCCGAAUGGCCGUUCCCAUUUAUAACUACUACUGUUCCCCGCUCCUCGGCUGCCUGCCCUGUGCCUUCCCCUUCUCCUCCUUUCCACCGUAUCGUCAGCUACACCUUCUCUCACCCAAUUCUUUACACUCCUCUUCUUCUUCGCUUUACCAUUUAAAAAAUCAAAGUAUUACUAGCGCUACGAUUACGGUAUGAUGAGAGGAUCUCAUUUACUGAUGCUUGCUCAACUCUUUUCGGAAAAGAAAUCGACGGAAUUGGAAGAAGGAAGAAACAGCUACAGUUAAAAAAGAUUUCCGGCCCAAAUCGGGCAGAAAGCAACGGAAAGCGCAGAAAGGCAGCAAAAUAUAUUUUUAAAUUGCCCAUUCUACCCCUAAAAAACUGUUGAAUAAAAUAUUUAUUUACUUAUAUAUCCAAAAUCACCUGCUUUCUUUCAUAAACUCCCAAACAACAUUAAAAUAUCUUCUCUUCUUUUCUUAUCCUUUCUUCCCUCUCGUAACUUAACCUCUCUCUUCUUUUCUUUUCUAUCCUCAACUCACAAACUAGCUAUAAAUCUCAUUGGAUUAGGAAUUAAAAACCAGAAGAAGGAGCUGUUUGGGGGUGAAGGUGUAAUAUAACUGUAAGAGAAAGGGCCGAAGCACGAAUAAAGCGGAGAUGGGAUGGCGGCGCCCCCACACCUUAUCAUCCAAAUAUCAUCCAAGUAUCUCCGGGCAGCUUCCGCCACACACGCCGUAACUCCUAUCACCCUACUGCUCCUCAGUCCUCAGUAUACCAUAGCUUGGCUUCCCCGAAUGGCCGUUCCCAUUUAUAACUACUACUGUUCCCCGCUCCUCGGCUGCCUGCCCUGUGCCUUCCCCUUCUCCUCCUUUCCACCGUAUCGUCAGCUACACCUUCUCUCACCCAAUUCUUUACACUCCUCUUCUUCUUCGCUUUACCAUUUAAAAAAUCAAAGUAUUACUAGCGCUAC